UCAGGCCUAACACAUGCAAGUCGAACGAACCCUUCGGGGUUAGUGGCGCACGGGUGCGUAACGCGUGGGGAUCUGCCCUUUGCUUCGGAAUAACAGUUAGAAAUGACUGCUAAUACCGGAUGAUGUCGGAAGACCAAAGAUUUAUCGGCAAAGGAUGAACCCGCGUAGGAUUAGCUAGUUGGAGGGGUAAAGGCCUACCAAGGCGACGAUCCUUAGCUGGUCUGAGAGGAUGAUCGGCCACACUGGGACUGAGACGCGGCCCAGACUCCUACGGGGGGCAGCAGUGGGGAAUAUUGGACAAUGGGCGAAAGCCUGAUCCAGCAAUGCCGCGUGAGUGAUGAAGGCCUUAGGGUUGUAAAGCUCUUUACCAGGGAUGAUAACGA
RNAcentral lists this ribosomal RNA (383 nucleotides) under uncultured bacterium. RNAcentral's name for it is "bacterial SSU rRNA". It matches the Rfam family "Bacterial small subunit ribosomal RNA", at positions 42 to 454 of the family's 1533-position model. The record is from RNAcentral.